GGGAUCUGCAGUAGAAUUCUUAGGUCACAGCCUGAACAAGUACGUGAGCAUGUGAGUGCCUGCAGUGGGGGGAGCCUGGAUCCAUCGUUUUGCUCUCCUCGUCUCAGCGGUGCUUCCAGGGGCGUCUAUGCAUUAAGAGUCUGCAGGAGUUUCCCCCGCCCAUCCUUCUCUUACUCCAGCACCAGAGUUUGAACCAGAGAAGGCUGCAUUUCUCAGCUCACCUUUUUUUCCAAGCUGUUGUUAGGAGGGGUGAGUUAAUUCCUCUUUCUUUGAUAUCUUAUUCUAAAGCACCUGUAUCUCAAAUAACGGCCCUGUCAUUGCCUUUGUUUGCCUUACAGGAAUGAAACAGGAGUCCCGUGUGUGAUCCUAGCAGACCAGGCUGGAGAAUUAAGACAUUGCUGGGACUUUAUCUCUAGGGUUUCUGCUGAGCAAAGUGAAGUAAAACUCAUUACAAGCAGGAAGAUGCUAGUCCAUUUAUGGGUCUCCUAGGAAACUGGAUUGAGUCCUUGCCCAUGGAGAUACAGAGGAUUUUUGUGAUCCCAAUGGUCUCCAGAAGUCUAUCCUGCCCUAUACAGAAGCCCCAAGAGAGGUAAAUAUGUAGGCUUUCUUAACUGUUGAUAGAACAUUGUGCAACUAUUUGUUCAGAAUCAAAUGGCAAAUGGCUGUCAAGUAGUCUGAGCAGAGUUCUUGUUGUGGAACUAUUGUGUGAUCUCUUCCAUAGCAGAAAGAAGAAACUAGCACAGGCUGUCAGCAUAGUUCAUUGCCUCAGUUUGCAGUAGAGAGGAAAGACAACUGGAAAUCAUGCCUACUGCUCCCCUUUUCUG
Molecule: long non-coding RNA, 824 nt
Organism: Lagopus muta (rock ptarmigan)
Lineage: Eukaryota; Metazoa; Chordata; Aves; Galliformes; Phasianidae
Exons: 3
Source: RefSeq, a predicted model, not a curated record